Long non-coding RNA from Culex quinquefasciatus (southern house mosquito), 1033 nucleotides. RefSeq lists it as uncharacterized. NCBI's taxonomy places the organism in Eukaryota, Metazoa, Arthropoda, Insecta, Diptera, Culicidae. The record is from RefSeq and is a predicted model, not a curated record. The transcript has 2 exons.
UCGAGUCACCUUUCUGUGUGACCUUUCUUUACAUACCAAGAAGCGCUCGUUCAACGGGCGCUUGGUAUAGGCUGGUUUUUUCUCAUACCCGUUUCUGCGGAAACGAUCCCGACGGUGGAACUCUCCACGUGGUUUUGCGAAACCUAACCUCCAAUUCGGAACCGAUCCUGCAACCGGGCACCCCUCGUGUCCCCUGCUCCGCUCGUGCGUGCUGCUAAGGCCCGCCUUUCGAGGCAGUCAAACGGAGGUCGAGGUAAUUCGCUAAAGUUAUCGUUUGCGAGAUACCCAUCGGUCGCCAAUUGCCGAUUGGAAGUUAGGAUCCCAACCCGCUACAACCCCCCUCGUGGAUCCGCCGAGAGCGUACGCCGACAAAUGCGUACAAUAAAGUGUCUGGAUUCGUUUGAGUUUUAACUUAAAGCCUCCAAUGGUGGGGUGUUCGUUUGCUCUUACUUGACGACGACACUGUCCGGACCUGCGCCGACCUCGUGUCGAACGCGCCGCGCGGCAUUCCGUGCCGAACGCGCCGAGCUUAGCUCGUGUAAAGCUCUCGAGUAACAACCCGAAGAAAUCGGAAGUCUUCCGUCCAGCCGAGCCUCCCUCCGCAACGUUAAGUACGGCCAUACGCGCACGAGCACACCGGCUGUCGCCCAAGUUCAGCCCUGGAGUCCCGCUCCACCUUAACAAACUCAUCGCGCCGAGGAUAAACAUCGCGGCGAAUCGAAGAACCCCUCGCCGAAGCUGCCAGCAUUACCAGGACGCAGCCAUCGCCGCCGCCGUCACCGCUGCUGUGGUUGCCGCGGUCACCACCACCAACGUACGCAACGCAUCAUAAACCCUGCGCAGGUAUGCUAGUAUUAGUCAUGGCCAUGUACAAUACGAGUUUUCCCCCUAUGCCACCCCGCUUAACCGAACGAGACUUUUCUUUAGCAUAAUGUAAAUACACUGUGAAAUGAAUUCACCCAUUCCUCUUUGGUAUUAAAGAUAAAUUAAAUUUCCCAUUGAAAUGCCUUGAAUAAAUCACCGUUUUUCCUUA